GUCAGCAUUUAACUCACGACUUUCCCCAAAUCACGCCUUUCACUGAAAACAUUUCUCCCAAGUCAGAUCAUCUUCCCCAAAAUCUUCACUCAAGAACCCUAGGUGAGAACCAUCUUCUCCAGUAUCUGUCAAACCCUUGGUUCUUGAAAUCCAGUGCUCCCAAAUCUCACGCGAAGUCAUCUGCGUUAAUUCAAAAUCCAAACCCCUGGGCGUGAAAUCAACUUCCUCCAAGUCAAUUGUUGUAGGUCGCGAUCCUCAAUUUAUUCAAUCAGCGAGAACAGUGUGAGGAAACCCAACAUCCGACCGGCAGGAUACAGUUAUCAAGUCUUCGUUGGAGCGCGAUCGUGAUUUGAAUUGCAUUGAAGGAAUUGGGACUGGUUGUGCAUGGAAACAGCUUCAUUAAAUUGUGAAGUAGAUAUACCACACCAACAAUUCGAAGCAGAUCAAGGAUGGAACAAUUGUGAAGCGGCCAUGUACUAACGUCGACAGUUCAGUGGCUAUUGUUUCAACUGAAUUUGUAUUUUGUAAUGUCCAAUGUUUUGCUUUUGGCAUGUAAAUUGACGUCAGAUUGGGAUGUUACAAUGUUGUUGAGAUAGAACAUAUUCACAUUAAUGAAAUCAGUGUAUUGUUGCUGCCAUGACUAUUUAAAGCACUAGAUGUUGAGAUGAAUGAUGUUUAAAGCACUUGAUGAAAUCAGUAUGUUGCUGUUUAAAGCACUCCGUUGGUUCUUGUUGAUGUGUCCAACCGAUGAUGUGAACUUUGAAGAUGUCGUUGACGACGUGAUUUACAGCAAGCUCCAACUUUCAGUCUUUCAGUUUUUGGGGUGAUUCAAGUGAUACAUCCGAUGAUGAACUGGAGUUAUCAAGUUUGUUGAAGAGCGUUAUUAAAAUAACUGAAGAAAAGGACGUGGACAUCUCCGUCAAAUUUACUUUCCGCAAGGGAGAAGGAGAAGAGCAACGGGAAACCAAAUGGAGGAGCUUUGUGAACUUGAACUGCUCAUGUUUAAAUUUUUUUGUAGGCUUGAAAAUUAAGAAGUAGCUCAAUCCCAGGAACUUCAAUUUCGCAUAUGUAAUUUGAAGUGUGUAGUACCCCAAUGAAACGACUAUGUUAUUUUAUAUGAAUGUAAUUUGGAUGCAUGGCAAUGAACAUGUUAUUUUAUAUCA
Long non-coding RNA from Olea europaea var. sylvestris, 1163 nucleotides. RefSeq lists it as uncharacterized. The transcript has 2 exons. The record is from RefSeq and is a predicted model, not a curated record. NCBI's taxonomy places the organism in Eukaryota, Viridiplantae, Streptophyta, Magnoliopsida, Lamiales, Oleaceae.